RNAcentral lists this long non-coding RNA (1709 nucleotides) under Nicotiana tabacum (common tobacco). RNAcentral's name for it is "long non-coding RNA (NTAB_LNC004745)". Lineage: Eukaryota; Viridiplantae; Streptophyta; Magnoliopsida; Solanales; Solanaceae. The record is from RNAcentral.
GGUUCAGUCACAUGGAGGAUCAGAGGUUGACACAGCUACAUCCUGGGUCGUUAGACCAUAGCGUACUGACAAGACAAAACCAUCACAGGUCGAAGGACGUAUGGAAUGGUGAGGUGGAAAAGCCUAUUUUAUGUAGACGGUCAGAUGGUAAUUUUUGGAAUUUGGUUCAUGAUCGUCCCAUUCAUCGACGUGUCCUGCAAAUAUUAAUUGAUGCAGGAUUUUACGGGGUCUAUCGAGUAGGACGUAUACAAUUAGACCAUGCUUUUAUUACUUCUCUUGUUGAGAGAUGGCGUCCGGAGACGCAUACUUUUCACCUAAGAGUUGGGGAAGCCACUAUUACGCUACAGGAUGUAGCUAUUUUGUAUGGAUUGCCAGUAGAGGGAAGGCCAGUAUUGGGCAUUGAUAGUACAAGAAAGACCGAAGAGUGGCAGAAUAUGUGCGACGCGUUGCUUGGUUUUAGACCACAUAGUUAUUGUUUAUUUGGUAGUAGGCUUGAGAUUAGUGCACUAGCUACAUACAUGGAGCAAUUGCCUUUGCUAGAUGAUGAUGCAGAUGAGGUAGUUGUACAUCAGAGGGCUAGGUGCUAUAUGUUAUGGAUGAUCGGGGGUAUACUGUUUCCUGACACAUCAGGAAACAAGGUUAAGUUAAUGUACUUGACGCUGCUCGAUGACAUCACGCAGAUUGGUACGUAUAGUUGGGGUAGUGCUGUGUUGGCGUGCUUGUACCGUGCAUUGUGUAGAGCUACUCGGCCAAAAAACAAUGAGUUAUGUGGCUUCAUACCACUUCUACAGGCAUGUAUUUCCUUAUAUGAUUAUUUAUAUUUUCAUUUUAAUAUAAAAUUAAUUUUAUUAUUUAUUUUUGAUAUACUUAGGUAUGGGCAUGGGAGAGACUGAAGAUGGUUCAUCCAGACAGACGUCAGGCAAGAGAGGGUGCUAUUAGAUUCUCCAAUGAUCUCCCUGGUCCGCCACAUGCAUGUAAAUGGAACGUUCAGCUUAGUUGGACACAUACAACGCAAUACGUGUUGCCAUUAUUUCGGGACCAGCUAGAUAACCUUGUUGAUGAACAUGUAUAACUUAUCAGCUCUAUAUAUGUUUUAUAGCAAGUGUUAUAUUCAUUUUAUGGCUAAUAGUUUGUUAUUUUUCCCAACAGUUUGUUUGGGAGCCGUAUACUCUAGAUGUGAUGGAGAAUCUUCCCGAGUAUUGUCGAUCAGGAGAGUACUUUUGGCGUGCUGUGGUGCCGCUCCUAUGUUGGGACGUGUUGGAGAUGCAUCAGCCCAACAGGGUCCUCAGACAAUUCGGAAUGCGUCAAUUCAUACCUGUUUCCUGCAAUUUUGCGGACAAUCACGACAUGCAUGAUCGUCGUGGCCGACAAAACACAGAUUGGGCUAGAGAACAUGCGAGGCUCAUACUUGUCUGGAAUGAUCGUGCUAACCAAGUUUGUGAAGCCCGGCUAGCAGAUGGACCCAUUGCGUAUGAUGAUGAUUACCUUGUCUGGUAUCGUCGGAUUACUCGACAGAUUAUCGGAAAUCCCAGUUUCCAAUUUCCAAAAGGGUAUGCAUCCCUUGCACCAGUGGCCGAGGUUAUGGUAUGUACUUGCAUUAAGAUAAGUUAAUCGCAUUUUUUAUAUAAUGUAUCAUUUUCUGUGGAAUUCAUUCUUAUGUCAGAAAAACCAGCUAAUUAGUUCAUUUGAUAUAUUGUAUAGUGUGCACC